GUGGUGCAGUUGGUAGCACUAUUGCCUUGCAGCAAGAGGAUCCUGGGUUAGAAUCCCAGC
This 60-nucleotide transfer RNA is filed under the name Poecilia formosa (Amazon molly). The record is from Rfam by way of RNAcentral. Lineage: Eukaryota; Metazoa; Chordata; Actinopteri; Cyprinodontiformes; Poeciliidae.